Long non-coding RNA from Mastomys coucha (southern multimammate mouse), 252 nucleotides. RefSeq lists it as uncharacterized. NCBI's taxonomy places the organism in Eukaryota, Metazoa, Chordata, Mammalia, Rodentia, Muridae. The transcript is spliced from 3 exons. The record is from RefSeq and is a predicted model, not a curated record.
GGCCUCUUCUGCAGGUCGCAUUGCUCGAGCAUUCUGUAGGGAGGGCCUCGAGAGAAGCAGAGAACCUGGUGACUGCAGUCACAGCACUAAAGGUUGAACCUGCGCAGAGCCCGGCUCCAGCGAUAACAACGAGGGUCCUCCGGAACCAUUGCUCCUGCUCACACAAAUGAGGGCAUGAUGCUUGCCUGGAGAGCCGUUCACCUAGUGCUGUUCACUCAUACUAAGGGCCCCCUCCCUCCCUCCCUCCCUCCC